RNA transcript from Mauremys reevesii (Reeves's turtle), 2845 nucleotides. It is a transcript of the gene named stimulated by retinoic acid 8, with no coding region annotated. Lineage: Eukaryota; Metazoa; Chordata; Testudines; Geoemydidae. The transcript has 11 exons. The record is from RefSeq and is a predicted model, not a curated record.
GGGGUAACGCCCAUAGGAGAGGACUGAGCCACAGAAGGAAGUUCAGAGGGCAGGGAAAUUGGGACAGAGUCACAGAAGGGGACAGAGCUCACAGAAAUGAAGGAAAGGCCAGAGCCUGUAUACACAGUGGGGCAGGACCCAAAAAGAAAGGACAAAGGCCAUAGAAAAGGGGAGCCAGAGCUCUGAAGUUGGAAAAGUUGUUGCUGAACGGUUCCUAGGGAGCCUCUUGCAAUGCAUUUAUAUGAUUUAAAAUCAUGUGAAGAGCAGACUUUAAAAAAUCCCUCUUUGAUUCUUUAAAAUGUCUCUGUGGGGAUCUGAAGGAGGAAUUCAGGCUUUUUAUAGCGAUGACAGUUCUGUUUGAUCUGAUUUUUUUUCUUUCAGUUGUGGAACUUCUGGAACCAUUAGUGCUUUUGAUGGAGACAUCUGGUGACUGUAGCAGCCCAUAUGUCAGGGUGACUCCUGGGUUCCUGACACAUCUGCAAGAUUUAGAGCCGCAAGUGGCAAGAAGACGCUUAUCUCAGGCACGACACCGGGCUACGCUGGCAGGACUCUUCAACAACCUGCGGGAAACUGUGUUUUCGCAGUCAGACAAUUCAGCAUCAAAGUGUCAGGUUUUGCGUAAAGCUAAGAAUUAUAUCCAGGAGCUGGAGCAAACCUUGGGUACCUUGCUGAAGAUGAAAGAGUCCUUCAGUCUGGAGGAUGGGAACCCAUCCAGCUUGGAGGAAGUCAAGGAGGAAUAUGUCAAGAUGUACUUCAGCGAUCUCGGUACUGCAUCCCCUUCAGAUGCCACGAGUGAGAGUGGCUCUACCGUCUGGUAUUUGAUUCAAGAAUAUGAAAAAAACUCAGUGGAAGAGGAUGGGAAGCCAAGACUUAUCCAGUCCCCAGCCACUUCAUCUCCUGAUCUGAUGGAGUUUGAACGGUACCUGUAUUUUUAUAAACAGACCGUGGACCUGCUGGUUGAGAAUGGGAUUGUGUGCACCGAAGAGGUCACUCUUCCUGUCGUCUCUACAGCUGUUUCCCACCUGUGGCAGAAUCUGCCAGAGGAGAGGAGAGACAGCAUCUUGCAGUACUGUAGUCAGAGACAAAAUGUACUCCCAGACCCUAAGGCAGCCUGCAAUGAAGGCAGUGUGAGGAACAGCAGAGCUAAUAGUCAGGAAGCCAGUGGUUCAUUGGUAUCCACACCCGAGGAGAUACUAUUUGAAGAUGCAUUUGAUGUUGCUGCUGGAUUCCUUGACAGAAAUGAGACUCAACAAGCAAUGUCCAGUCCAGGGUCUGUUAAAGACAACUGCUUGCAGCAACUUGCUCAUGAUCAUACCAUUUGUUAUGGUGUAAGAAUUGCUCAAUGUUCGCAGGCUGCACCUCAGAAAAUCCAGAGGAUAACCACCGGCUCUACUUGCAGAUCACUGGUUUCUUAAAGGGUCUUUUCUUUGCUAACACACAGUUUCCCCAGUACUAAGAGAGCGAACCAUCUCCUGCAUAAGCUGUGGCCACUGAACAGAAGUCCUUGUCAAGCACACUGCUGCCUGGUCAUAGGCCCACAGAUCUGGUAGAUCUGUGGUGUGAGGCGAGCAAGAUGUUCCACUCCAGUAAGAAUCCCAGAAAUGACCGUGUAUACCAAGAAAUAAGCACACAGUGCUGGGAUUCAGCGGACUGGUGACCGUGAAGGGAGCAGACUAAACAGCUGACGAGUGACUACCGGAAAGCUAGGGAUGAGACUGUACACCUCUGGGAACGCCCCAUCAUCCUGUCUCUUUAACGAGGACUUUGACUGGGUGCUGGGUACUGAACCCCCAGCAGUUCACGAUAGCCUGGUCUGCCGGGAUGGCAGCCUUCUGACCUCCAAAUCUAGUAUAACACUGGAGGGGAGCCAGCAGACGCUGGAUCAGGUGACUGGUGCUCGUACCAGCCCCCAGAGAGGUUUUGCUUCCAGAGCAAACACAGCACAUUCUGGGUCCAUACUCAGAGGAGCUGUUUGAUGACACUCUGUGCCCCCCUGCCGUGGAAUUGGCAACAGAAGGAGAAGAGACAGAACUCAGCCCUGGAGCCUGACACUUUUUCUGAGGAAGCACCGAAGCUUUUUUGCAGUACUGAGACAAUAAUGUACAGUUUGAUGUCUGCUUUCCGGCCCUUCCACCUUUGCAGCCCAGCCACAGUCUAACAAGCGCCUGGGAUUUCGAACAAUCAUGAGUGUUGAAAGAGGAAGCAUUUCCAUGAUGAACUUACAGUGGACAUCCUGGACAGGGCCAGCCAUCAGGACCAAUACCAAAGGGAAAAGGAUUCACGGCAGAUGGAAAGACACCAACAGGUUGCAGAGCACAAGGAGCAAAUUGCAGCACAUGAGGAGAGACUUACAGCACAGUUUGUGGCACAAGAACGGCCCUUGAGGGAGGAAGAUAGAGUGCAGCAGAAAGACCUGUUUGAGAGGCUGCUUGCGCCAAUGGCCGCAAGACUUCAGGCUCCUCCCCACCCACACUAUGUCCUUAGUGCCCUCCACGGUACCAUGUCCUGCAGACCACAAAUGCAUUAGAUAAUACCAUGGUUGGAUGGCCCAUGCAACCAGGACUGAAUGCUAAUCGAGCAGGGCAAAUGUACCCCCAGCAGUCCUCCACACUACUGCAGUCCUCCAGCCCCGUGCAGUGGCGCUAAGUGCACACUAAACAAGCUAGAAAGGGAAAGGAGAAUGGGCAGCUGGGGACACGCAGAAGUAGGGACUGUAUUUGCACUGAUUUUACUUGUUUGCACUUAUUUCACUGUUUUGUACCGUUCCAUGUUUGUGUUAUACACUUUAUUUUAUCACUGUUUUUGAUGUUGGUUUAUUACUGGUGUUUUAAUGGCAGCUGGCCUG